Molecule: ribosomal RNA, 585 nt
Filed under: uncultured bacterium
Lineage: Bacteria
Description: partial 16S ribosomal RNA
Rfam family: Bacterial small subunit ribosomal RNA
Source: RNAcentral
UGGGGAAUUUUGGACAAUGGGCGAAAGCCUGAUCCAGCAAUGCCGCGUGUGCGAAGAAGGCCUUCGGGUUGUAAAGCACUUUUGUCCGGAAAGAAAUCCUUGGCUCUAAUACAGUCGGGGGAUGACGGUACCGGAAGAAUAAGCACCGGCUAACUACGUGCCAGCAGCCGCGGUAAUACGUAGGGUGCAAGCGUUAAUCGGAAUUACUGGGCGUAAAGCGUGCGCAGGCGGUUUGCUAAGACCGAUGUGAAAUCCCCGGGCUCAACCUGGGAACUGCAUUGGUGACUGGCAGGCUAGAGUAUGGCAGAGGGGGGUAGAAUUCCACGUGUAGCAGUGAAAUGCGUAGAGAUGUGGAGGAAUACCGAUGGCGAAGGCAGCCCCCUGGGCCAAUACUGACGCUCAUGCACGAAAGCGUGGGGAGCAAACAGGAUUAGAUACCCUGGUAGUCCACGCCCUAAACGAUGUCAACUAGUUGUUGGGGAUUCAUUUCCUUAGUAACGUAGCUAACGCGUGAAGUUGACCGCCUGGGGAGUACGGUCGCAAGAUUAAAACUCAAAUGAAUUGACGGGGUCAUAGCUGUUUCCU